AUCGGUAGCUGGUCUGAGAGGACGACCAGCCACACUGGGACUGAGACACGGCCCAGACUCCUACGGGAGGCAGCAGUGGGGAAUAUUGGACAAUGGGCGAAAGCCUGAUCCAGCAAUGCCGCGUGGGUGAAGAAGGUCUUCGGAUCGUAAAGCCCUUUCGGCGGGGACGAUGAUGACGGUACCCGCAGAAGAAGCCCCGGCUAACUUCGUGCCAGCAGCCGCGGUAAUACGAAGGGGGCUAGCGUUACUCGGAAUUACUGGGCGUAAAGGGCGCGUAGGCGGCACCGUCAGUCGGGCGUGAAAUUCCUGGGCUCAACCUGGGGACUGCGCUCGAUACGGCGGAGCUAGAGGAUGGAAGAGGCUCGCGGAAUUCCCAGUGUAGAGGUGAAAUUCGUAGAUAUUGGGAAGAACACCGGUGGCGAAGGCGGCGAGCUGGUCCAUUACUGACGCUGAGGCGCGACAGCGUGGGGAGCAAA
RNAcentral lists this ribosomal RNA (476 nucleotides) under Roseomonas sp. RNAcentral's name for it is "bacterial SSU rRNA". It matches the Rfam family "Bacterial small subunit ribosomal RNA", at positions 279 to 772 of the family's 1533-position model. Lineage: Bacteria; Pseudomonadati; Pseudomonadota; Alphaproteobacteria; Acetobacterales; Roseomonadaceae. The record is from RNAcentral.